RNAcentral lists this ribosomal RNA (253 nucleotides) under uncultured bacterium. Its description in RNAcentral is "partial 16S ribosomal RNA". It matches the Rfam family "Bacterial small subunit ribosomal RNA", at positions 524 to 776 of the family's 1533-position model. The record is from RNAcentral.
UACGGGGGGGGCAAGCGUUGUUCGGAAUUACUGGGCGUAAAGGGUGCGUAGGCGGUUGUUUAAGUCUGUUGUGAAAUCCCCGGGCUCAACCUGGGAAUGGCAAUGGAUACUGGGCAGCUAGAGUGUGUCAGAGGAUGGUGGAAUUCCCGGUGUAGCGGUGAAAUGCGUAGAGAUCGGGAGGAACAUCAGUGGCGAAGGCGGCCAUCUGGGACAACACUGACGCUGAAGCACGAAAGCGUGGGGAGCAAACAGG